RNAcentral lists this long non-coding RNA (1319 nucleotides) under Prunus persica (peach). RNAcentral's name for it is "long non-coding RNA (PPER_LNC002901)". Lineage: Eukaryota; Viridiplantae; Streptophyta; Magnoliopsida; Rosales; Rosaceae. The record is from RNAcentral.
AAGCAUAUAUUGCUAGUAGUAUAGACCUCAGUAAGGCAAUAAUGUACCAAGGGAUUCACACUAACUCAGAGUUUCUAAAUCGGCACACUAAUGCAAAAAGGCAUCUGUUUGCCCAAAAUCAUGUCCACCCUGUUCAUGUUGGUUAUACAAUUAUGGUUCUUUAUAGGUCCAAAUUAACAAUGCUGAAUAUCUUAUUCUAAAUCUCUUCUCGGUGGGAAAAAAAAAGUAAUUUAUUUACAGAAAACAAUUAGUAUAAACUUUCUUUAACAGAGGGAAAAGACACAAUACAAAUAACUAUACCAAAUAUCAUACGGCAAUCGCAACGAAUUCUGGUAAUGAACUGAAACUCGAAAUCACAAAUCACAUUUGUUUUAAACUGAGAAUUUGGGAUCAGACUGACGUGCAAAACAUAACUCAGCAUAGCAGAAGCCUAUGAGACAGUUUAAUCAUCAUUCCCCAAAAUCCAUGCCAAACAUAAAAUCCAAAGUACAUUAUGAGACAAUUGAAUAACUCAUCCAAAUGUAAAACAAUUUAAAACCUUCAUGAUAAAAUUCAGGGCAAAAAACCCAAAAGAAAAAUCCCAACAACAAAAAUUAGCAUAGAAAUGGUGAUUGGUUGCUCUCAGUCAAGGGCCAAAGUUUUCCACAUAAGAGAACAUAAAAAGAGUUGGGUAUAACCAUCUCAAGAUUUAAGCCAAGAGAAUAACAGAAGGGCUUCAAAUGCUUGGCAAAGCCUUCUUCUCUUCCCUAAAAGAAAGAGUCAGAUAAAAAAAAUAUAUCAACCACCACUCUUAGACAAAAGAGUCAUUAGGCAAUACCAAGCACAGGAAGCACCGCCAUUGAUCUACCUGACUUAAUUCAGAAGAGGGCAAAUCCAACCCUUCAAUUCUCAGUUCGGUGUGGUUAAAGCAAAGGAAAUCAUCAUCGAGCAAAAAAGUGGUAGGUGGGUGUUUGGGAGAUGAGAAAAUUGUGGCACUUACGAGAAAAGGUCAGAACCCAAUAGAGUAUGAGAGCCUGCCAGUCCAGAAGAACCAAUCCUUUCGGAUUUGAUUUCGCAUCGCUUCGUAGUCUCUAGGCUACAAAGAAGAGCAGAGAGGUUCAUAGUAGAUGCCUUCUGCAAAUCCUAAAAAUCAAAUAUAAACAAUACGACUCUUUAGAUUUUAUAAAAUGAAACUUUUGAAAAAGAAGAUUUGCAAAGAGAUGAAAGACGUUGAGCAGCUGCAGAGUUGUUUGUGGUUGAUUUUAUAUAGAAGCAGAAAUUAGGGUUUGUGGGUGCAUUUCUUCAAUUGUCCGCGAUGUUCAUUAGAAUUACAAAAUCAC